AGCACGAACGCUGGCGGCGUGCUUAACACAUGCAAGUCGAGCGGAAAGGCCCUUCGGGGUACUCGAGCGGCGAACGGGUGAGUAACACGUGAGUAAUCUGCCCCUAGCUCUGGGAUAGCUCCGGGAAACCGGGAUUAAUACCAGAUACGACCACUUUAGACAUCUGUUGUGGUGGAAAGAAUUUUGGCUAGGGAUGAGCUCGCGGCCUAUCAGCUUGUUGGUGAGGUAACGGCUCACCAAGGCGACGACGGGUAGCCGGCCUGAGAGGGCGACCGGCCACACUGGGACUGAGACACGGCCCAGACUCCUACGGGAGGCAGCAGUGGGGAAUAUUGCGCAAUGGGCGAAAGCCUGACGCAGCGACGCCGCGUGGGGGAUGAAGGCCUUCGGGUUGUAAACCCUUUCAGCAGGGACGAAGCGAAGUGACGGUACCUGCAGAAGAAGCACCGGCCAACUACGUGCCAGCAGCCGC
This 472-nucleotide ribosomal RNA is filed under the name uncultured bacterium. RNAcentral's name for it is "SSU rRNA". It matches the Rfam family "Bacterial small subunit ribosomal RNA", at positions 26 to 518 of the family's 1533-position model. The record is from RNAcentral.